Molecule: ribosomal RNA, 292 nt
Filed under: uncultured bacterium
Lineage: Bacteria
Description: partial 16S ribosomal RNA
Rfam family: Bacterial small subunit ribosomal RNA
Source: RNAcentral
GUGCCAGCAGCCGCGGUAAUACGUAGGUGGCAAGCGUUGUCCGGAAUUAUUGGGCGUAAAGGGCGCGUAGGCGGUCCCUUAAGUCAGAUGUGAAAUCCCGAGGCUUAACCUCGGGCGUGCAUUUGAAACUGGGGGACUAGAGUGCAGGAGAGGUAAGUGGAAUUCCUAGUGUAGCGGUGAAAUGCGUAGAUAUUAGGAGGAACACCAGUGGCGAAGGCGACUUACUGGACUGUAACUGACGCUGAGGCGCGAAAGCGUGGGGAGCAAACAGGAUUAGAAACCCGUGUAGUCC